AAGUACUGUUGUAGGGGUAGGAAGUAAUGUCGUAGGGGUAGGGAGGACUGUUGUACGGUAGGGAGGACUGUUGUAGGGGUAGGGAGGACUGUUGUCAGGGUAGGGAGGACUGUUGUAGGGGUAGGAAGUACUGUUGUCAGAGUAGGAAGUACUGUUGUAGGGGUAGGGAGAACUGUUGUAGGGGUAGGGAGUACUGUUGUAGGGGUAGGAAGUACUGUUGUCAGAGUAGGGAGUACUGUUGUAGGGGUAGGGAGGACUGUUGUAGAGGUAGGAAGUAAUGUUGUCGGAGUAGGAUGUACUCUUGUAGGGGUAGGGAGUAGUGUUGUAGGGG
Long non-coding RNA from Oncorhynchus tshawytscha (Chinook salmon), 331 nucleotides. The record is from Ensembl. NCBI's taxonomy places the organism in Eukaryota, Metazoa, Chordata, Actinopteri, Salmoniformes, Salmonidae.